This 253-nucleotide ribosomal RNA is filed under the name uncultured bacterium. RNAcentral's name for it is "partial 16S ribosomal RNA". It matches the Rfam family "Bacterial small subunit ribosomal RNA", at positions 524 to 776 of the family's 1533-position model. The record is from RNAcentral.
UACGUAGGGUGCAAGCGUUAAUCGGAAUUACUGGGCGUAAAGCGUGCGCAGGCGGUUCUAUAAGACAGAUGUGAAAUCCCCGGGCUCAACCUGGGAACUGCAUUUGUGACUGCAUGGCUAGAGUGCGGCAGAGGGGGAUGGAAUUCCGCGUGUAGCAGUGAAAUGCGUAGAUAUGCGGAGGAACACCGAUGGCGAAGGCAGUCCCCUGGGCCUGCACUGACGCUCAUGCACGAAAGCGUGGGGAGCAAACAGG